UAACCCUACGGGAGGCAGCAGUGGGGAAUAUUGGCCAAUGGGCUUACGCCUGAACCAGCCAAGUCGCGUGAGGGAAGACUGCCCUAUGGGUUGUAAACCUCUUUUGUCGGGGAGCAAGACCCGCCUCGUGCAGGCGGAGCGAGAGUACCCGAAGAAAAAGCAUCGGCUAACUCCGUGCCAGCAGCCGCGGUAAUACGGAGGAUGCGAGCGUUAUCCGGAUUUAUUGGGUUUAAAGGGUGCGCAGGCGGACCAUCAAGUCAGCGGUAAAAUCGUGGGGCCCAACCCCAUCCCGCCGUUGAAACUGG
Molecule: ribosomal RNA, 305 nt
Filed under: uncultured bacterium
Lineage: Bacteria
Description: bacterial SSU rRNA
Rfam family: Bacterial small subunit ribosomal RNA
Source: RNAcentral